GACGAACGCUGGCGGCGUGCUUAACUCAUGCAAGUCGAACGAAGUGGCGAACGGGUGAGUAAUACGUGGGUAACCUGCCCUCCUUUUUGGGAUAAGCCUUGGAAACGGGGUCUAAUACCGAAUAAAGGGGGAUGGGCUCGCGGCCUAUCAGCUUGUUGGUGGGGUGAUGGCCUACCAAGGCGGUGACGGGUAGCCGGCCUGAGAGGGUGACCGGCCACAUUGGGACUGAGAUACGGCCCAGACUCCUACGGGAGGCAGCAGUGGGGAAGUUUGGACAAUGGGGGCAACCCUGAUCCAGCCAUGCCGCGUGCAGGAUGAAGGUCUUCGGAUUGUAAACUGCUUUUGUCAGGAAAACGGUACCUGAAGAAUAAGCACCGGCUAACUACGUGCCAGCAGCCGCGGUAAUAC
This 408-nucleotide ribosomal RNA is filed under the name uncultured bacterium. RNAcentral describes it as "partial 16S ribosomal RNA". It matches the Rfam family "Bacterial small subunit ribosomal RNA", at positions 28 to 526 of the family's 1533-position model. The record is from RNAcentral.